This is a long non-coding RNA of Daucus carota subsp. sativus, 818 nucleotides long. RefSeq lists it as uncharacterized. Lineage: Eukaryota; Viridiplantae; Streptophyta; Magnoliopsida; Apiales; Apiaceae. The record is from RefSeq and is a predicted model, not a curated record. The transcript has 3 exons.
UCUCCCAAUAUUGCCUCCGCCGUCUCUCUCUAUGAACCCUAAAUUUAUCCACCUCAAACUUGUUCAUUUCUCUAACCUCUCCCCUCUCUCAAUCCUAAUUCAAGUCCUAAUUCAAGUCAUAAGCACUAUGAGUAAGUCGAUUCGUUCAAAAGCUCGAUUCACAAACACAAACCAUAGCUAGAUUUGUUCGAUUAAAGGCUUUCGGAGAUACAGAGAACAUGUUGUUCAAGAAGCACUAGUGUUAUUACUCUGAGUUAAGACUCUCUUGCUUUGUCUCGGAAGCUUCUAUGUUGGUUUGCUCUUCACCAAUUGCCACCGGAGACACCCUUUGUGCUGCUAUGAAUUUACUGGAAUCUCUGGGAUUACGACGAAGAAGAAACAUAUAAUCUUUCUUGUAGUAAGGAAUGACGACGAAGAAGCAACAGAUGAUCAGCUGUAGGGAUCAGCAAUCACCUAAUUCAGAUGUGUAGUUUCUUCGGUCUGAGAAGAAUGGAUAUACCUUCUUGCAGUCUUCAAUUUACAUACUUAGCACACCGCCACUCCUAGAGCCUAAUGGAAUCAACUACAUUGCUUACCAAAAGGUACCAGAAGCUGAACCUCGUGGGUGGCAUCCUGACAGUUUUUCAACAUCUUGUAUGCAGUGCAAUUUUCUCUUCACAACCCUUACCCAAGGACGCCAUCAGUGUCGAUUUUAAGGAGGGAUCUUUUGCGGGGAAUGAUCAAAAGGCAGGUGUUUAAUGCCUGUUAAGUUUAGGGAGAGAAAUCUAUAGAGGGUGUGUGACUCUUGUUAGUGUCAUAGUUUUAUAUAUAUUUUUUGC